Cyprinus carpio carpio is the source of this 1987-nucleotide long non-coding RNA. Lineage: Eukaryota; Metazoa; Chordata; Actinopteri; Cypriniformes; Cyprinidae. The record is from Ensembl.
UCAAAGAACAAAGCUGGUGGUCCAACCAAUAUCUGCUCCCCCCCCCCCACUUAAGGAGCAAAGCUACUUCAAUAGAGGCCAAGAUGCUUUUAACGUUUUCUAAUGGCAAGUAAUUGGGUAUUCAUGUAAAUGGCAUUCAUUUUGCUUUUGUCUGUCAUUGUAUUGUACUUGAAUACAAUUUGAUGGCUAAGUGUCUAUGCAGUAAUUGUAUUAGUUUCUUAUUGUUUGGUUAAUUUUGUAUUUUGAAGAGCGGGGAUGUGUGUAGGCUUUCUUUUCCUCCCCCUUUGCAUUUUUCAGUGUGCAGUGUCCCUGAAUGCUUUCGACUGAAGAUGUCAUCUUAACAUUGUAUGUAAAGAUUUGCUUUCGCAUCAGUCAACUUCAGCCUCAUUUGGUCACGUAAGGUCACUAAGCAAGCCAUUUGUUCCUAACAUUUUUUCAUUAAUAGUCUGUUACAAUUGUUAAGAUGUGUGGUAGAGCACUUAUUACAAAUUAGCUUUGUAAUUUGUAUGUAAGUGUACAUUCUGUAACUGUUCCCAUUUUCAGUUAAUAAAUGCAUAGCUUGUUGUGAUUGAAAUAUUUUGGUAUGCAUUUUGUUUCUUGGGGUAUGUCUGGGGCUUUUUGGGGUAUUUCUGUGCUUUUUCAGGUGUGAGUGUAAAGCUUGGCGCUUUUUGUAGAGCUUGGAUGCCAGGGCUUGAUGUCGACUCUGUUCAAGGUGGAGAGGCAGAUCAGUCCAGUUCUACAACUGUACUCAGGUCGAAGGAAGAAAGGCAAAAUAUACAAAUUUAACUUGAAGAUAUGCUUUAUGCAUUAAAUUGUAGUCUCUUAUACAUAAGCCUACCCUUUUAAUAUCUGAUUCUUGUAGACUGUUUUACUUUGAUAAUGGGCUGUUUUGUAAGGGUGGGCAGAGGGGGCCUUUGUUUUUGCCAUUUUUGGUCUUGCAGAAUUUUACGAGGCCUCGUGAAGAAUGCCACUUCAUCCGGUUCCACUGAAUACUUCGGCAGGCAGGACAAUUCGUUGUGCUACAGAAGAUAUUAAACUGUACUGUACUUUUAAAAUGUUUAAUUACCCAGCCACUGCUCUGCGCAACUGUGCAGGGUGUAAAAGUUGCUUUACAAAUGUAUAGCAAUAGUCUGUUCAGCUGUUGCACAAAUGUGCUCCAAACUCCAAAUUUAGAGUGGCUGGGAAAAGCUGUGCAACUGUGCAGCUGUUUUUUUUUGAUUGGCUGUAUAGCCGAAAGUUACCUGGAAAAGAUUUGUUUGGGCUGGGGAGGGCUUUGCACUAUUCUCUUUCUUCUGCAGAAAUCUCAUCAGCCAGCUGUGUGGUGAAAGUUACAUGAUGUCGUCCUGUGGAGUCUGUAGCUACCAGGUGUCUGAAUCUUUAAACUUGAUUGUAGAAUCCUCAUGCAACAUUGUAAUCUUCAGUAACAUCAAUCACCACUGCUUCAGAAGCUGCACUUGUUUUGUGCUUCAUGCACUUUAAGUUUCUUUUACAUCUCUUAACUCCUUAGUAUUGAAGUCGGUGUGGUGGAAGUGUUUGUGUGUAGAAGCUCUUUGUUUCAGAUUACCCGUCUGUCCCACGCCUUCUCAACUGCAUCUGAAUGCGAGGCUGUCUGUGAGAGCAGUUGCCCUGGUGAAUGUCUUCACUUGAAUGAAUGGCGAUCAAAUCCCCCUACCGUGCGCUUGAGAUCUUUGUCCAAACCUCUGAAGCCCUUCGCUGAAGUCCCUUUGUGUGUCUGCGCGUCUCUCCCGUUUUUUUUUUUUGUUUUUUUUUCUUUUCUUCUCCAAUUCUUCAUUUUCUUAGGUCAAUUUCACUUAGGACGCAAAAUUGUCUUGUCGUCUGGGAGAGCUCUAACCGCCUGAUGAAACAUCCAGUCGCUCUGAUCAACCUCAUUUGUCAUUUUGCUGCUAAUUGAGCAUCGCUCUGCUGCUAUCUGCUGAGUAUGCUGUUGUGAUUCUUCUAAAAUUGAGCCCGAGCUGUAACAUGGGAG